GUGUUUUACCAAUUUUUCCUAACUUAAAAUUUUAUUUGUGUUAAGAAAAUGUCGAGACAACAACAAAACCAAGCUACGAUCAUCAGAGAUUUGCUAAGGGUGGUACAAGAUUUGGGUAGGCAACAAGCACAGGGUGGUCCCCAUGGUACAAAUGCUAACAACACUAGCUCAAUUGUGGAAUAGUUUUGUCGCUACAAACCCCCAACAUUCGAUGGCAAGACAUACGCACUAGCAGCUGAAGAAUGGAUAAGAGGAAUGGAGCGAAUCUUCAAACAUCUAUCUUGCACUGAUGCUCAAAAGUUGUUAUGUGCAGAAUUUAUGUUGGUUGACGCGGCAGGCCAUUGGUGGGAGUCAGCAUCUUGUACUAGAACAGAAGCACAACAACGUGCUCUGACUUGGACGCAAUUUAAGGAGGAGAUGAUGGGAAAAUACUUCCCACAAGCCCUGAGGGAUCGUAAAGAGACAUAAUUCCUUCAACUCAAACAGGGAAAGAUAAAACUUGAAGAUUAUGAGAGAAAGUUCAAGCAACUCUCUAGGUAUGCACCACACCUAGUAGACACAGAGGUAAAAAAAGCAAGGAGGUUCGAAUUGGGAUUGCGCCCUGAGAUUGGUGGAAUAAUGGCAUCACACCAAUUCACUAUCUAUAGCCAAGUAUUGCAAACUACCCAGGCAAUCUCAAAUAGAUUAGAGAUUGACCAAACUUCCCAGCAAGGAGCCGAGUCUUCAGGAAAGCGGAAAUGGAAUGGGUCCAAUGAAGAAAAAGGAGGACAGAACAAGAAAGUCAACAUUGGAUCAAAUUUUGGACGAGUCAUUUCACCCUGUUCAAAGUGCAACAGGAUGCAUGGUGGGGAAUGUUUGUUCGGGAAACAUGUGUGCUAUCGAUGUGGCAAAACGGAUCACAUUUCCAAAAAUUGCAAAGAAGAUCCCUUAAAGAAGAAUGAUGAACCAGAAAAGAAGGGAAAUGCCCGAGUUUUUGCUUUAGCCCAGGAACGAACAACAAAGGAC
This 1005-nucleotide long non-coding RNA is filed under the name Olea europaea subsp. europaea. Lineage: Eukaryota; Viridiplantae; Streptophyta; Magnoliopsida; Lamiales; Oleaceae. The record is from RNAcentral.